GCAGCAGCCGCGGUAAUACAGAGGGUGCGAGCGUUAAUCGGAUUUACUGGGCGUAAAGCGUGCGUAGGCGGCUUCUUAAGUCGGAUGUGAAAUCCCUGAGCUUAACUUAGGAAUUGCAUUCGAUACUGGGAAGCUAGAGUAUGGGAGAGGAUGGUAGAAUUCCAGGUGUAGCGGUGAAAUGCGUAGAGAUCUGGAGGAAUACCGAUGGCGAAGGCAGCCAUCUGGCCUAAUACUGACGCUGAGGUACGAAAGCAUGGGGAGCAAACAGGAUUAGAUACCCCAGUAGUCCCUGUCUCUUAUAC
This 302-nucleotide ribosomal RNA is filed under the name uncultured bacterium. Its description in RNAcentral is "partial 16S ribosomal RNA". It matches the Rfam family "Bacterial small subunit ribosomal RNA", at positions 508 to 807 of the family's 1533-position model. The record is from RNAcentral.